This 429-nucleotide ribosomal RNA is filed under the name Chloroflexota bacterium. Its description in RNAcentral is "Chloroflexi bacterium partial 16S ribosomal RNA". It matches the Rfam family "Bacterial small subunit ribosomal RNA", at positions 355 to 776 of the family's 1533-position model. The record is from RNAcentral. Lineage: Bacteria; Bacillati; Chloroflexota.
UGGGGAAUAUUGCACAAUGGGCGCGAGCCUGAUGCAGCCAUGCCGCGUGUGUGAAGAAGGCCUUCGGGUUGUAAAGCACUUUCAGCGGGGAGGAAGGCGAUAAGGUUAAUAACCUUGUCGAUUGACGUUACCCGCAGAAGAAGCACCGGCUAACUCCGUGCCAGCAGCCGCGGUAAUACGGAGGGUGCAAGCGUUAAUCGGAAUUACUGGGCGUAAAGCGCACGCAGGCGGUCUGUCAAGUCGGAUGUGAAAUCCCCGGGCUCAACCUGGGAACUGCAUUCGAAACUGGCAGGCUAGAGUCUUGUAGAGGGGGGUAGAAUUCCAGGUGUAGCGGUGAAAUGCGUAGAGAUCUGGAGGAAUACCGGUGGCGAAGGCGGCCCCCUGGACAAAGACUGACGCUCAGGUGCGAAAGCGUGGGGAGCAAACAGG